AUUGAACGCUGGCGGCAGGCCUAACACAUGCAAGUCGAACGGUAGCACAGAGGAGCCUGCUCCUUGGGUGACGAGUGGCGGACGGGUGAGUAAUGUCUGGGAAACUGCCCGAUGGAGGGGGAUAACUACUGGAAACGGUAGCUAAUACCGCAUAACGUCGCAAGACCAAAGAGGGGGACCUUCGGGCCUCUUGCCAUCGGAUGUGCCCAGAUGGGAUUAGCUAGUAGGUGGGGUAACGGCUCACCUAGGCGACGAUCCCUAGCUGGUCUGAGAGGAUGACCAGCCACACUGGAACUGAGACACGGUCCAGACUCCUACGGGAGGCAGCAGUGGGGAAUAUUGCACAAUGGGCGCAAGCCUGAUGCAGCCAUGCCGCGUGUAUGAAGAAGGCCUUCGGGUUGUAAAGUACUUUCAGCGAGGAGGAAGGCGUUGUGGUUAAUAACCGCAACGAUUGACGUUACUCGCAGAAGAAGCACCGGCUAACUCCGUGCCAGCCGCCGCGGUAAAAGGG
This 511-nucleotide ribosomal RNA is filed under the name uncultured Enterobacterales bacterium. Its description in RNAcentral is "bacterial SSU rRNA". It matches the Rfam family "Bacterial small subunit ribosomal RNA", at positions 29 to 528 of the family's 1533-position model. Lineage: Bacteria; Pseudomonadati; Pseudomonadota; Gammaproteobacteria; Enterobacterales. The record is from RNAcentral.